Molecule: long non-coding RNA, 238 nt
Organism: Brienomyrus brachyistius
Lineage: Eukaryota; Metazoa; Chordata; Actinopteri; Osteoglossiformes; Mormyridae
Exons: 3
Source: RefSeq, a predicted model, not a curated record
CGGGAGGAGUGGACAAGCGGCGCAUGACAAUUUGAGUUGCAGGGAUUUGACAAAAACAUCCUUUUAGAAAUGCGUGAGGAAGGUCAAGACUCUGGUCUCCAGCUCACCGCUCUCUCUUACAUUUCCAUGGCCAUUUUGUCCGAUAGUAUUAUUGGAUUUUUCUAUGCUAUAUAUAUAUUUUUUAUGUUUAGUUAUUCUGUGCUCCAUAAUUAUAAAUAAUAGUUUAUUUUCCUUGUGA